ACUCCUACGGGAGGCAGCAGUGGGGAAUAUUGGACAAUGGGGGCAACCCUGAUCCAGCAAUGCCGCGUGUGUGAAGAAGGCCUGCGGGUUGUAAAGCACUUUCAGCAGGGAAGAAAAGCCUGGCGCUAAUACCGUCGGGUCUUGACGUCACCUGCAGAAGAAGCACCGGCUAACUCCGUGCCAGCAGCCGCGGUAAUA
RNAcentral lists this ribosomal RNA (198 nucleotides) under uncultured bacterium. RNAcentral's name for it is "partial 16S ribosomal RNA". It matches the Rfam family "Bacterial small subunit ribosomal RNA", at positions 335 to 525 of the family's 1533-position model. The record is from RNAcentral.